GCUUGCGUUCCCCAGCGACACAGGCCUCGAGGCUGUCUCUGACAAGUGUUCACAGGAGGUGGGGACGCCUCUGCGCGAGGAACGAGGAGCUACGGGCCUGGGCCCGGCUAUUGCCAUGGGCAGCGGCUGCCGCAUCGAAUGCAUAUUCUUCAGCGAGUUCCACCCCACGCUGGGACCCAAGAUCACCUAUCAGGUGCCACCCGGGCUCGCGGGACUGGGCGGGGAGAGGGACGUUCUUGAGAGCUCAACCGGCUGCCUGAAGGCAGUAGUUUCCCGUGCUGCACGCAGGCAUGCUACUUCAUUCGCAGACAACUGUGAGGCUAGAGGAUAGUCAGACCCAUUCCCCCGGCUCCCAGUGUAGCAGGGAAGACAUACGUCACAUUGGCAGUGUUUGUAGGAUAUCGGGCUGGAGGGAUCCGGUUGGGGGGUUCCAAGUCCCACAGAAGGUGAAGUGGGUGACCCAUGAGUAUCCCUGAACUGAGUGAAGAGUAAAUGAUGCAUAGGAAGUUUAGAUAAGGGAGGAGAAAGUGUUCCAGGUAGAGGGAACAGCAUAUGCAGAAGCCAGGAAGGAGAUGAGAUCAUAGUGUGUGUUUGGAAACAGAAAGAAGUAAUAGGGCUGAGAGGAUGGGAGAGAGGGGAACGCUGGACAAGAGGACUUGGGCUUGGGGGGCAUGAGGAGGUCACCAUUUAUACUACACCCAGUACAGAUGUCCACUGAGGGACCCAUUGCCACUCCCCUCCCCAGGUCCCUGAAGACUUCAUCUCCCGAGAGCUGUUUGACACAGUCCAAGUGUACAUCAUCACCAAGCCAGAGCUGCAGAACAAGCUUAUCACUGUCACAGCUAUGGAAAAGAAGCUGAUCGGCUGUCCUGUGUGCAUCGAACACAAGAAGUACAGCCGCAAUGCCCUCCUCUUCAACCUGGGCUUCGUGUGUGAUGCCCAGGCCAAGACCUGCGCCCUCGAGCCCAUCGUUAAAAAGCUGGCUGGCUAUCUGACCACACUAGAGAGAGCAGCUUCGUGUCCAUGGAGGAGAGCAAGCAGAAGUUGGUGCCCAUCAUGACCAUCUUGCUGGAGGAGCUAAAUGCCUCAGGCCGGUGCACUCUGCCCAUUGAUGAGUCCAACACCAUCCACUUGAAGGUGAUUGAGCAGCGGCCAGACCCUCCGGUGGCCCAGGAGUAUGAUGUACCUGUCUUUACCAAAGACAAGGAGGAUUUCUUCAAUUCACAGUGGGACCUCACUACACAACAAGUAUGCCAUCCCUCCCUGGGUAUCAUCACCUGGGGCUGGCCACAGCCCUGGCCUCAUCCUGUUUCUUCUGACCUUGUUCCACUCUGCCCAGAUCCUGCCCUACAUUGAUGGGUUCCGCCACGUCCAGAAGAUUUCAGCAGAGGCAGAUGUGGAGCUCAACCUGGUGCGCAUUGCUAUCCAGAACCUGCUGUACUAUGGCGUUGUGACACUGGUGUCCAUCCUCCAGUACUCCAAUGUAUACUGCCCAACGCCCAAGGUCCAGGACCUGGUAGAUGACAAGUCCCUGCAGGAGGCAUGUCUAUCCUACGUGACCAAGCAAGGUAGUGGUGGGCUCUGAGGGAAGCCAUCUUGGGGAGGGCAGAGCCACAUGGUGAGCUGAUCCCUGGCACCCACAGGGCACAAGAGGGCCAGUCUCCGGGAUGUGUUCCAGCUAUACUGCAGCCUGAGCCCUGGCACUACCGUGCGAGACCUCAUUGGCCGCCACCCCCAGCAGCUGCAGCACGUUGAUGAACGGAAGCUGAUCCAGUUCGGGCUUAUGAAGAACCUCAUCAGGCGACUACAGAAGUAUCCUGUGCGGGUGACUCGGGAAGAGCAGAGCCACCCUGCCCGGCUUUAUACAGGCUGCCACAGCUAUGACGAGAUCUGCUGCAAGACAGGCAUGAGCUACCAUGAGCUGGAUGAGCGGCUUGAAAAUGACCCCAACAUCAUCAUCUGCUGGAAGUGAGGCUGGUAGUGGCUGGAUGGACACAUUGCUGUGGGUAGUCCCUCCUACCAGGAGGCUUGUCAUACUGUCUAGAGGUUGACUCUUAGUUCUGUAAAUAAAGACAUCCAUUUCAAACAGC
This 2090-nucleotide small RNA is filed under the name Pongo abelii (Sumatran orangutan). RNAcentral describes it as "retained intron". Lineage: Eukaryota; Metazoa; Chordata; Mammalia; Primates; Hominidae. The record is from RNAcentral.